Molecule: ribosomal RNA, 450 nt
Filed under: uncultured bacterium
Lineage: Bacteria
Description: bacterial SSU rRNA
Rfam family: Bacterial small subunit ribosomal RNA
Source: RNAcentral
UGCAGUCGAACGCGAAGUCACUUCGGUGGCGAGUAGAGUGGCGGACGGGUGAGUAACGCGUGGGAAUCUACCUUGUAGUGGGGGACAACCCGAGGAAACUCGGGCUAAUACCGCAUACGUCCUACGGGAGAAAGGGGGCCUCUGAUUCAAGCUCCCGCUACAAGACGAGCCCGCGUCGGAUUAGCUAGUUGGUAGGGUAAAAGCCUACCAAGGCAACGAUCCGUAGCUGGUCUGAGAGGAUGAUCAGCCACACUGGGACUGAGACACGGCCCAGACUCCUACGGGAGGCAGCAGUGGGGAAUUUUCCGCAAUGGGCGAAAGCCUGACGGAGCAAUACCGCGUGAGGGAGGAAGGCCUUUGGGUUGUAAACCUCAAAAAUUAGGGAAGAAAAAAAUGACGGUACCUAAAAUAAGCAUCGGCUAACUCCGUGCCAGCAGCCGCGGUAAUACG